AGCUGCGUGGUGAGCACAGAGCGAACUAUUCUUUCGCCUUUUACUAAAGAAUACCGUGUGCGCGCCACAACGAGCAGCAUACUCUAAUUUUUUUUAGGGUGCUCUCUCUUAACGAGAGGG
Molecule: non-coding RNA, 120 nt
Organism: Brachypodium distachyon (stiff brome)
Lineage: Eukaryota; Viridiplantae; Streptophyta; Magnoliopsida; Poales; Poaceae
Source: Rfam